GAGUUUGAUCUUGGCUCAGAGCGAACGCUGGCGGCAGGCCUAAUACAUGCAAGUCGAGCGCACCUUCGGGUGAGCGGCGGACGGGUGAGUAACGCGUGGGAAUGUGCCCUUUGGUACGGAACAACUGAGGGAAACUUCAGCUAAUACCGUAUGUGCCCUUCGGGGGAAAGAUUUAUCGCCAUUGGAGCAGCCCGCGUUGGAUUAGCUAGUUGGUGGGGUAAAGGCCCACCAAGGCGACGAUCCAUAGCUGGUCUGAGAGGAUGAUCAGCCACACUGGGACUGAGACACGGCCCAGACUCCUACGGGAGGCAGCAGUAGGGAAUCUUGCGCAAUGGGCGAAAGCCUGACGCAGCCAUGCCGCGUGAAUGAUGAAGGUCUUAGGAUUGUAAAAUUCUUUUCACCGGGGAAGAUAAUGACGGUACCCGGAGAAGAAGCCCCGGCUAACUUCGUGCCAGCCGCCGCCGU
Molecule: ribosomal RNA, 465 nt
Filed under: uncultured Alphaproteobacteria bacterium
Lineage: Bacteria; Pseudomonadati; Pseudomonadota; Alphaproteobacteria
Also listed under: 1 other name
Description: bacterial SSU rRNA
Rfam family: Bacterial small subunit ribosomal RNA
Source: RNAcentral